Molecule: small nucleolar RNA, 132 nt
Organism: Phoenix dactylifera (date palm)
Lineage: Eukaryota; Viridiplantae; Streptophyta; Magnoliopsida; Arecales; Arecaceae
Product: small nucleolar RNA snoR137
Source: RefSeq, a predicted model, not a curated record
GUUGCUUCUUCAUUGACCUAGUGGCCUAUAUUGGCCAUUCACAAUCAGAAGCAUAUAUUUAGAAAAUUGGCCAGUAUUUAACAGCAUGAUGCUUUUACUGUAGCAUUAUGUUACCUGUCUCCUGGUAAAUAA